AGCCCUGGCAAUGGGCAAGGAGACACCUGAUUGUUGGUGUUGGUCUUAUGUCAGUCAGGGGCAAAGCAGCUGUUCAGUCCUUAGUUCAUCCUAGCUUGAUGCCUGUGAUGGUGGCCAGAGCUGUCUCGUGCCUGGGUCACAUAA
Small nucleolar RNA from Myotis lucifugus (little brown bat), 144 nucleotides. Lineage: Eukaryota; Metazoa; Chordata; Mammalia; Chiroptera; Vespertilionidae. The record is from Ensembl.